GGGCCGGUGGUCUAACGGUAACGCAGCGCCGGAAUGAUGCCGCGUUCGCAUCGCGGAGGCUCCGGGUUCAAAUCCCGGCCGGUCCA
This 86-nucleotide transfer RNA is filed under the name Candidatus Aenigmatarchaeota archaeon. RNAcentral describes it as "tRNA-Ala". It matches the Rfam family "tRNA". Rfam says of the family: Transfer RNA (tRNA) molecules are approximately 80 nucleotides in length. Their secondary structure includes four short double-helical elements and three loops (D, anti-codon, and T loops). Further hydrogen bonds mediate the characteristic L-shaped molecular structure. tRNAs have two regions of fundamental functional importance: the anti-codon, which is responsible for specific mRNA codon recognition, and the 3' end, to which the tRNAs corresponding amino acid is attached (by aminoacyl-tRNA synthetases). tRNAs cope with the degeneracy of the genetic code in two manners: having more than one tRNA (with a specific anti-codon) for a particular amino acid; and 'wobble' base-pairing, i.e. permitting non-standard base-pairing at the 3rd anti-codon position. The record is from RNAcentral. Lineage: Archaea; Nanobdellati; Candidatus Aenigmatarchaeota.